UAUUAUUACAUUCUAAGGAGAUAUAAUCAUUCGAGUGUAUUAUUGAAAGUUCUAUUUUAGAUUUUAUAAUAUUAAGCAGUAAAAAUAAGAUUAUAUGUUAUUAUUUUUUGAUAAAAUAUGUAAGUAAUUUAGUAUUUAUAUCAGAAGGUUAUUUGUUUGCUAUAGAAAACAGUACUGAGAAGGAACAUAUAUAAUUAUAAGCAUGUAAGAAAAUCUUAAUAUUUGUUCCUUUUGUCUCAUGAUUUAACUAGAUUAUUUAAUUAAUUUUAUUUCUCGAAAUUGAUUGAGCUAUUGAAUUUAAAACAGUUGAUGUAACAAAAUCAAAUUAUAAUUUUCAAUAGGUGUUAAAUGCUUACCGCAAUCGAUGAUAGCUAGUUAAUUUAUAAAUAUGUUUAAGCAUAGGGCUAAAAAUUAGGGUUGUAUUUUUAUUUAAAUUAAGAUUAAUUUUUAGCUCCCGGCCACGGGGGGAUAAGCUCUUAUGGUUAAACAAAGAAAUAUAUCAUUAUAAUUUAUUGUGUAGGCUUAGAAUUGGCUAUCAGAUACAAGUUUGUUUUAAAAUAUUAACUAUUUAUUAUAUAAUAAUUUAUUUAAUUUCUUAAUGUAUGAUAAAUUAAAUUAAUACAAUUCUUUAUUUUUUAAUAUAAUGUUAAAAUGAGUAUAAUUAUUAUUAAUAUUUUUCAUAUACUUAAUAUAAAGACUUAUAAAUAUAUAGUGUUAAUUAUUUAAAAUAUAAAAAUGAAAAGGAACUCGGCAAAUACAGACUCCGCCUGUUUAUCAAAAACAUCGCUCUUUGGCAAAUUUUAUAUAAAGAGUUGUGCCUGCCCAAUGAUUACAGCAUUAAAUGGCCGCGGUACCCUGACCGUGCAAAGGUAGCAUAAUCAUUUGCCUUAUAAUUGGAGGCUAGAAUGAAUGGCUUGACGAGAGUUUAACUGUCUUUUUAUUUUUAUUUAUAAAUUAAUUUUUAUGUAAAGAAGCAUAAAUCUUUAAAAGGGACGAGAAGACCCUAUUGAGUUUUAGUUUAAUUAUAAUUAUUUCUUAUAUUAAUAUAAUUAGUACUAUAAUAGACUUUAGUUGGGGCAACUGAGGAGCUAUAAAUAACCUCCUUGAAAAUUAAUCUAAAGUGAUAAUUAUUUGACCCACUUUUAGUGGUCAACAGAUAUAACUACCGUAGGGAUAACAGCGUAAUCUCUUCUAAGAGCUCUAAUUGAAGAAGGGGAUUGCGACCUCGAUGUUGGACUAAGAUACCUAAAGGGUGUAGCAGCUCUUUUAGUAAGUCUGUUCGACUUUUAAAAUCUUACAUGAUCUGAGUUCAGACCGGCGUAAGCCAGGUUGGCUUCUAUCUUUUUGAAUAUAAAUAUUUUCUUGGUUAGUACGAAAGGACCAUCAAAAUUCGAAUAAUUUUAUAGAUUAAAGUGUGAUUGAAUUAAUUUAAUAAUAUUUAUUAAAUUUUUUAUACAUAAAAGACUAUUGU
RNAcentral lists this ribosomal RNA (1471 nucleotides) under Nucula nucleus. Its description in RNAcentral is "large subunit ribosomal RNA". The stretch from base 983 to 1349 matches the Rfam family "Archaeal large subunit ribosomal RNA", at positions 2147 to 2719 of the family's 2987-position model. Lineage: Eukaryota; Metazoa; Mollusca; Bivalvia; Nuculida; Nuculidae. The record is from RNAcentral.